Molecule: ribosomal RNA, 253 nt
Filed under: uncultured bacterium
Lineage: Bacteria
Description: partial 16S ribosomal RNA
Rfam family: Bacterial small subunit ribosomal RNA
Source: RNAcentral
UACGUAGGUGGCAAGCGUUGUCCGGAGUUAUUGGGCGUAAAGCGCGCGCAGGCGGUGCGGUAAGUCUCUGGUGAAAGCGCUCGGCUUAACUGGGCGAGGGCCGGGGAGACUGCCACGCUGGAGGGGAGCAGAGGCGAGUGGAAUUCCGGGUGUAGUGGUGAAAUGCGUAGAGAUCCGGAGGAACACCAGUGGCGAAGGCGGCUCGCUGGGCUCUACCUGACGCUGAGGCGCGAAGGCGUGGGGAGCGAACGGG